Molecule: unclassified non-coding RNA, 6699 nt
Filed under: Portunus trituberculatus (swimming crab)
Lineage: Eukaryota; Metazoa; Arthropoda; Malacostraca; Decapoda; Portunidae
Description: microfibril-associated glycoprotein 4-like, transcript variant X1
Source: RNAcentral
AAUGCAAAAUUGCUGUCAGUCCUAUUAUAAGCACAUCGUUUAUUUAUCAGUAAUUUAUUUAUUUACUUAUUUAUUUAUUUAUUUAUUUAUUUAGAGAGAGAGAGAGAGAGAGAGAGAGAGAGAGAGAGAGAGAGAGAGAGAGAGAGAGAGAGAGAGUGUGUAUUCGCCCUCAUUACGGAGAAAACCGUGUGGGAUGAGAGAGGCAGGCGAGGCGUGACGGCAGCAGGUUGGAGAGGUAACGCAAAGGGAGGCAGCGUGGGCGUUAGUUUCUCCUCAGCCACCACCACACACAUAUCCGUUCCCUGCUGCUGCUGCUGGCUAACCAGGGCUUAUCAGCAUCUUCUGGCGACUGGUCUCUACUCUUCAGAAAACCACUCAGAAGCGUCAGUGCUACGUGGAAGAUUUGGAAGUGGUCAGCUUCUUUCUUAGGCAUUAGCAAUCAUAUUCCAAUAAGUAAGCCUUGAAGAAACGGUAAAAACUGAGAGAAAAUAUCAUACCGAAAGCAAUGGUGUGGUCAACGUUGCUUCUCGCGGUGAUAGUGGAAGGUGCAGCUAAAAUCCUGGUGAGUAGUGGGGUGUCGGAGAGCAGUGAACAGUUUGGAAUCAGCACUGAUGUCGUGUCCAGCCCACAACGCCGCUUGAUCCGCCAGGCAGUGUCAGAGAGCAGUAUGGUCCAGCUCGCUAACGCCUCUGGAUCCAGAACAAGAGAUGUAUACGAUUUUACUAAGUCGUUCCACGUAGGGACGAGUUGUCAUGACCUGCAAGCAAGCCAGGGCGCUUCACGCAGCGGCAUCUACCUGGUGCACCCACCCAACCUGCUGCAGGGCCCUUGGCGAGUCUACUGCGACCAGGAAACUGAGGGGGGCGGCUGGACGGUCUUUCAGGUGCGCGAUGACGUUGAGCCUCACGAGAACUUCAUGCGAGGCUGGGAAGACUACAAGGUGGGAUUCGGGGACUUCGACCGAGAGUUUUGGCUGGGCAACAUCCUGCUGUGGUCGCUCACCAACACAGACAACGCCACCAAGCACGAGUUGCACAUAGAGCUGGAGGACUGGUCGGGCAACAGACGCUUUGCCCGCUAUAGGGGAUUCAAGCUGGGGCCAGAGGAAGACGAUUUUAGACUCCACCACGACAAUGUUUUCUUCGGCAACGCGGGGGAUGCUCUGUUCUCUCACAACGGGCUUCCCUUUUCAACAUUCGACGUGGAUAACGACGCGCGGGAUGGAGACUACGUGGAGAGAAGUUGUGCCCGAUUGUACAAAGGCGCCUGGUGGUACGGGAACUGCCACGACUCUAACCUGAACGGGUGGUACCUUGGGGGAUCGCACCGUUCUUUUGCCGACGGGGUCAACUGGUUCACCUGGACUGGCUACAACUAUUCCCUAAAGCGAACCAUCAUGAAGUUCAGACCUCAGCGGAGCGGCCCCAUCCCCGUCGGCUAUGAUACCUUCAUCAUUGCCAAUAAGAAGAGGAGUCUGGACACUGCCACUCCUUCUCGACCCCGACAGAGAAUGGAGGAAGAUGAGGGGAAGGGAAAAGAGAGAAAGCAACGGCAGCAGCUUUCAUCUCACCCUCUUGAGUUGACGGGGAAAAGACGCAGUGUUCCGGAGUUACUGAGCAGCCGUAACACGCUCACCAAUAGAGCUGAUCGGGAAUUAUAGCACCAUAGACACUACCACCGCAGCCGCCACUCCCGCCACUGAUGACUUACAGUAGGGUGAUUCUUACCCAGAAGUAAAAAAAGUCAACUUGCAGUUCCGACCGGGUGCCAUUGUCUCCUUUUCAUGACGUGCUGGUGCAUCAAUUCAUUCCCUCACUCGUGUAUGUAUGUAUGUAUGUAUGUAUGUAUUUAUUCACGUAUGUAUGAACGUAACACUGGAGAAAAAAGAGACACUACCUCAAACAUAAAAACCUCGCAACUCGUUACCACCACCCAUGCAAGUAUUGUUGAUGCAGGAGAGGGCAAUGAAUGGAGUACGUGCUCUUACUUCCCAUCAUGCCUCACCUCCCUCUCCAACACCUGCAGAAAUCACGUUGUUUCAAAUUUUCGUAAGAGUGACUCGUUGUCGAAUUGGAGUAAAAUUCAUAUUCUUUUCACCGUUAUACAACUCAGUAACUCCUAACAGGCCGUAGCGAAAAUCAUGGUGGUUUUCUGAAGUGUCUAUAUGAAUUUAGUGAUCGCUGAACAAGGAAUUCUGUACCAUCAAAAGAAGAAACACUCAUGAGAACCUAACUGAUAAUCUCUGUUGGUCCGAGUGCUUAAGAAUACUAAUCUACUCGUUACAGACUUACAGCGUGACUUUUAAGCUUCGUACUUUGAGACACUUUGGGUUCCCAUAUAUGCUUUUUAUCCAUAGUGUAGGUCUUUUCUAAAAACCAUUUAUAAAAUCUAGAAAACAUCCUUUAAAUCUCCGAAAAUCCCAAAUCAUAGCUUGUUAUUUAUAAGCAAUCGAGACAGGAAGUCAACGAAGCUUUUGAUAAUGCCGUGAUGGAUAUUAGACGUGUGAAUCGUGUUACUCAGGAACGACACACAACACCUGCUUGAACACACGUGAUGGCAAGAAGACAUCCACUGAGAAAGGUGUGAUGUGUGCACUUUUACCGAUGACCCAGACUAACUCAUCACGCGCGUGCCUUACAGUGGACUGACUGACUGACUGAAUGACUGACCGAAACUAACACAAGACUCCUUCGUGACGUGUUUAUGCAGCGUAACUGACUGAUAGGUUAUAGUGACGUGACAUGUAAACGAUCUAUUGACUGUGACUAUUGACUUAUGGUUCUUGAGUGUGGCAUGAAUGUUACAUGACUAUUAGGUCGUGACCUGCUAUGAAUGAUUUCUUAUUUGGGACUGUGAAUAUAGCGUGACUAAGUAACAAUGCAACCCACUACAUAACCCGGAUGUUCUGAUGUAUUGAUUUUGUGUUCAUGUCAUCUCCGUGCUCGACUUCACACACUCACUCACUGACAUGAAUUAAAGGAUAGGUUAACUGAGUGACUGACUAAGCACGAAACUUAUUGACUGACUGACUCCGGAUAGAAUUUACUAAAUGAAUUAUUCAAUUAAUGACUGACUAAGCACGAAACUUAUUGAUUGACUGACUCUGGAUAGAAUUUACUAAAUUAAUUAUUCAAUUAAUGACUGACUAAGCACGAAACUUAUUGAUUGACUGACUCCGGAUAGAAUUUACUAAAUGAAUUAUUCAAUUAAUGACUGACCAAAUUUGUGUUACUGAGGCUCGUAUUCUAAAACAGUUCGCUCUCUUGCUAUCAAUGCUUUCCAAAGACUCUAAUUGAAGAUACUCAUAUUUUUAAGGAUGUUUUUAUGGUUCUGUUGACAGACUGGCAAAAUUUUUAGUUAAUCAAAAGGAUAAAAUGUCUUGAGAACUCGCCCAGUCGUUUCUGUGGUCUGGAGAAAUUGUCGUGGUGAGAUGGCAAAGCGUUUCUGAAUGUGGGCGUGAGAGCACUACGUCUAACUGUCUGUUUCCGAUAUUACCGACUGACUGAUGGACUGUAAACUUGCUGGCCUCUUGACUGACUGGCUGACUGACUUAUAUAACAUCGAAUGACAGAAUAACUGACUGAUAGAAUAACUUACUGACUGGAUGAUUAACUGAUUGAUCAUGAAACUCGCGACUAAUUGACUGACUGGUUAAUUGCAUAAUUUAUUGACUUACAGGCUAACAAUCUGACUGACUGACUGACUGACUGAUACAUUAACCGACUAUUUUGUUACGUAAUGUAUUGACUGACACAUUGACUGACUAAAUCACUUAUUAACUAACUGAAUGAUGGAUUUACUGAUCACAUAGUUUACUGACUUACAGGUUCAUAAUUUGACCUCAUAACUGACUAAUAUAUUACCUAACUAAGAGCUUUACUACACAAUUUACUGACUGAUCUAUUGACUAACUUACUGACUUACUGAAUGAUGGACUGACUGACCAUAUAAAUAUACUUAGUUAACUGACUAAAUUACUAAGUGACUGAUUGACCGUCAGUUUGACUAAUUUACGAGUGGCUGACUGCUUGACAAAAUUAUUGAUUAACUGACGGGCAAAAAUAACUUAAUUAGAUUCAACAGAAUCACUGAUCAGGUACUACCAGACUGACUGAUUGACUGUGAAUAAACGGAAUGAUUGACUGACUGACCAACCGAUCGUGCCAUUGACUUUCUGACUAACUGACAAACUGACUGUAGUUGACUAAUUGACAAACUGACAGACUGAUCAACUGACUGAAGCAACUGCUGGAAGAGUACAAGUGUGGUUAACUGAUCGACCUUUAGGUCUGGAUGACUGACUCAUUGACUCACUGACUGAGUGACUGAUCAGUGACUGACUGACUGUCUUUCAAGCUGAAUGGCUGACUUACUGAUUGAUUGUUUGGUAUGGUGACUGACUGACGAAUUGAUUGAUUAACUGACAGACUGACAAUUAAUUUAUGGUCUGACUUUAAAUGAGUAUACUCAAGUUAAUGACCAAUAUUAUCAACUGACUUAUCCAACUCUGUGACUAUCUGAGACUGAAUGACUAAAUGACUGACUGACUACCUGACUAACUAAUUACACAAGUUUCUGCUUUAUUAAAUCACUUAAAUAGAAGACUGCAUGAUAUUACGAAUGAUUUAUCACUGACAUGAUGUGCAUAUCCUCCUGUCUGAUGAGUGAAUGAGAUGAGUAAGUGAGUAAGUGAGUGAAUGAAUGACUGAGUGACUAAGUGACCAUUGAUCCUUCUUCCUUUUCCCAGAUCAACUGACUGACUUAUUCACUGUUUAAUCGACUGACAGUAAUUUAGACAGAGUUACCUUUGACUACAUGACUGACAGUGAUUUAGACUCCGGGUGAACGAACGACUGAUCUCCUUAUUUCUUAAAAACUGACAGAGUUUAACUAGCAGACUAACAGGCUUAACUCUCUCAUCAAUUGACAAACUGUAUUUUGUGCCUGAUUGUUCUAAACUUCUUGAGUGUUUUGCUGUCCUGCCUGAUUGACUGACUGAUCGACUGAAUGAGACACUAUAAAAUUGACUUGAAUUAAUUCUUGCCACUGACUAAAACUGACGUUGCUUACAUUUCAAGGCUUGACUUUCUGAAUGACUGGAUAACUGACUUAUUGACUAAUUGUUGAAAUAGCUAAACUUGACAAAGACUCGUUUUAUGUACAUGUUGUGUAUACAUGAUGACUGAAAUUACCUGGAAUAGAAUAAUCUAACAAAGUAAAUAUUCCAUUUUUUUUUUUGUGUCAUUGUUUUUCUGACAGCCUGACUGACUUAUUAUUGGUGACGUGUCUGCUACAGUAACUGCAUUUAAAAAGACUGAGUGAUUGACGACUGUACAUGAAAGGAUGCGAUAUUGCCUUAAACUGAUAAACAAGUGAGAAAUUAACGCAAUGAAUGAAUGAAGAAUGCACUGAACUAAGAUACUGACUUAUGACAUGACUGACUGAUUGACUGGGUAGUGAAGUGACCUGGGAGCGUUUGUUAAUUUGUAAACUAUCCAGUAAAAUUAUUUCAGAAACAUAGUGAAGUGAUGCAGUUUGCCGUGAUUAGCUUGUUGAGAGGAGGUGGAGUCCUUUGUCAUACUUCCUAAGUCGUAAUUCAUAUAGGCAAUGACGCACAUAGCAUCGGCGACCUGAUGGACUUUAUUAAAGUAUAGACUUCAGCAGUCGCGUAUUUACAAAUGUUCACAUACACAAGUAAAUAAGACAGUGAUCUAUUACAGUGCGUUGUGAUCUAUUUGUAUUUUUACUUGUUUCUUUCUUUAUCUAUUUAUGGACGUAACUAUUUGAUUUCUUUAUAUCUACAAGCGUCCAGUCAGUGAGAACAUAUAAGGAUUGCUUGUGGUUCACCCAGUCACCGUGUGUUGUUUUAUCACCAAAACACCACACCAAUUAUGAAGUUACUGUAAUUACAUAGCUGGAUAUGACGGUGACUCAGAAGUGGUUACUAAGACGUAGUGCAUUUAGGUUUGGAAUGCUGUGUGGCUGUUUCUAUAACUUACAAUUUAGACCUGCUCGUGAAUCAUAACUAACGAUGACUGGUGACAAAAAGCAAUUCACUGCCAACUAUGGAAUGCUGAAUUAUAACUAGUUGCUGAUAUCACUUAGGAUGACGUGACUGACUGAUGUGAUGCUUAGUAUUGCCUUGUGACUUGUGAAAUGGUUCGUAACUAAUAGUGGAGAAUGAUUCGUAACAUAGACAAUAAUUCUCUCUCUCUCUCUCUCUCUCUCUCUCUCUCUCUCUCUCUCUCUCUCUCUCUCUCUCUUUCUCUCUUAUAUAGUAUGGCUCAUAACCUGAUAUUUAGUUUUGAGUUCCAGCAUUGUAUUCCACUACUGACUGAGUGAGUGGCUGAUGACGUGAUCUUACUGACAGAAUGACUGAUUGAUUUACUGACUGACCAGGUGAAUUACUGAAUACUUUUUUUAUUUACUGACAGAUAAGAUCAAUGACUGACGGACUAACUUAUUAACACACUCACCAAAUAUCUGACUGACUGAUUAACUAACUGACUGACUGACCUGAUAAAUUAGUGAUAAGUUGAGUUGAUUGACUGAUUAUAUAGUUCAGUGACUGAAUGAUUAACCCCUUCAGUACCAUGACACGUUUUCAUGAUUAUUCUGCUUAGUAUUUGCUGAUUUUACACAGCUUCAGAAAUUUACUUCGGGGUUAAUAUAGUGAAGACUCUAGCCAUUAAACUUCUA